AGUGAACGCUGGCGGUAGGCCUAACACAUGCCAGUCGAACGGCAGCACAGUAAGAGCUUGCUCUUACGGGUGGCGAGUGGCGGACGGGUGAGGAAUACAUCGGAAUCUACUUUUUCGUGGGGGAUAACGUAGGGAAACUUACGCUAAUACCGCAUACGACCUACGGGUGAAAGCAGGGGAUCUUCGGACCUUGCGCGUUUGAAUGAGCCGAUGUCGGAUUAGCUAGUUGGCGGGGUAAAGGCCCACCAAGGCGACGAUCCGUAGCUGGGCUGAGAGGAUGAUCGGCCACACUGGAACUGAGACACGGUCCAGACUCCUACGGGAGGCAGCAGUGGGGAAUAUUCGGCAAUGGGCGCAAGCCUGAUGCAGCCAUACCGCGUGGGUGAAGAAGGCCUUCGGGUUGUAAAGCCCUUUUGUUGGGAAAGAAAAGCAGCAGAUUAAUACCCCGCUGUUCUGACGGUACCCAAAGAAUAAGCACCGGCUAACUUCGUG
Molecule: ribosomal RNA, 492 nt
Filed under: uncultured bacterium
Lineage: Bacteria
Description: partial 16S ribosomal RNA
Rfam family: Bacterial small subunit ribosomal RNA
Source: RNAcentral